AGCGAACGCUGGCGGCGUGCCUAACACAUGCAAGUCGAACGUGAAAGGGAGCAAUCCCCAGUAAAGUGGCGUACGGGUGAGUAACACGUAGGUAAUCUACCCCAGAAUCUGGAAUAACCGGCCGAAAGGCUGGCUAAUACUGGAUAGAGCGACGGAAUCCGUAAUUGGGUUUUUCGGGAAAGGGAGCCUGUAAAAAGGCCUUCGUUCUGGGAUGAGCCUGCGUCCCAUCAGCUAGUUGGUGAGGUAAAAGCUUACCAAGGCAAUGACGGGUAGCUGGUCUGAGAGGACGAUCAGCCACACUGGAACUGAAACACGGCCCAGACUCCUACGGGAGGCAGCAGUGGGGAAUCUUGCGCAAUGGACGAAAGUCUGACGCAGCAACGCCGCGUGAGGGAAGAAGGCCUUCGGGUUGUAAAGCUCUGUCGAGUGGGACGAAAAUGCUUGGAGUUCACAGCUCCAGGAACUGACGGUACCACUAAAGGAAGCACCGGCUAACUCCGUG
RNAcentral lists this ribosomal RNA (502 nucleotides) under uncultured bacterium. Its description in RNAcentral is "partial 16S ribosomal RNA". It matches the Rfam family "Bacterial small subunit ribosomal RNA", at positions 29 to 507 of the family's 1533-position model. The record is from RNAcentral.